RNAcentral lists this non-coding RNA (19 nucleotides) under Arabidopsis thaliana (thale cress). The record is from RNAcentral. Lineage: Eukaryota; Viridiplantae; Streptophyta; Magnoliopsida; Brassicales; Brassicaceae. RNAcentral also lists the same sequence under 1 other name.
GGUGUCAGAAAAGUUACCA